This 253-nucleotide ribosomal RNA is filed under the name uncultured bacterium. RNAcentral describes it as "partial 16S ribosomal RNA". It matches the Rfam family "Bacterial small subunit ribosomal RNA", at positions 524 to 776 of the family's 1533-position model. The record is from RNAcentral.
UACAGAGGUCUCAAGCGUUGUUCGGAUUCAUUGGGCGUAAAGGGUGCGUAGGCGGCGCGGUAAGUCGGGUGUGAAAUCUCGGAGCUUAACUCCGAAACUGCAUUCGAUACUGCCGUGCUUGAGGACUGGAGAGGAGACUGGAAUUUACGGUGUAGCGGUGAAAUGCGUAGAGAUGUGGAGGAACACCAGUGGCGAAGGCGACUCUUUGGCCUGUAACUGACGCUGAGGCGCGAAAGCGUGGGGAGCAAACAGG